This 497-nucleotide ribosomal RNA is filed under the name uncultured bacterium. RNAcentral's name for it is "partial 16S ribosomal RNA". It matches the Rfam family "Bacterial small subunit ribosomal RNA", at positions 28 to 507 of the family's 1533-position model. The record is from RNAcentral.
GAUGAACGCUGGCGGCGUGCCUAAUACAUGCAAGUCGAGCGAACAGACGAGGAGCUUGCUCCUCUGACGUUAGCGGCGGACGGGUGAGUAACACGUGGAUAACCUACCUAUAAGACUGGGAUAACUUCGGGAAACCGGAGCUAAUACCGGAUAAUAUAUUGAACCGCAUGGUUCAAUAGUGAAAGACGGUUUUGCUGUCACUUAUAGAUGUAUCCGCGCGGCAUUGGCUAGUUGGUAGGGUAACGCCUUACCAAGGCGACGAUGCGUAGCCGACCUGAGCGGCGGGUCGGCGACACUGGAACGGGACCAGGGUCCAUAGUCCUAAGGGAGGCAGCAGAAGGGAAUCUGCCGCAGUGGGCGAGAGCCUGACGGAGCAGCGCCGAGUGAGUGAUGAAGGUCUUCGGAUCGUAAAGCUCUGUUAUUAGGGAAGAACAAAUGUGUGAGUAACUAUACACGUCGUGACGGUACCUAAUCAGAAAGCCACGGCUAACUACGUG